This 303-nucleotide ribosomal RNA is filed under the name uncultured bacterium. RNAcentral describes it as "partial 16S ribosomal RNA". It matches the Rfam family "Bacterial small subunit ribosomal RNA", at positions 507 to 807 of the family's 1533-position model. The record is from RNAcentral.
AGCAGUAGCCGCGGUAAUACGUAGGGUGCAAGCGUUAAUCGGAAUUACUGGGCGUAAAGCGUGCGCAGGCGGUUAUAUAAGUCAGAUGUGAAAUCCCCGGGCUCAACCUGGGAACUGCAUUUGAGACUGUAUGGCUAGAGUGUGUCAGAGGGGGGUAGAAUUCCACGUGUAGCAGUGAAAUGCGUAGAUAUGUGGAGGAAUACCGAUGGCGAAGGCAGCCCCCUGGGAUAACACUGACGCUCAUGCACGAACGCGUGGGGAGCAAACAGGAUUAGAUACCCGCGUAGUCCCUGUCUCUUAUAC